CGGCAGACGGGUGAGUAACGCGUGGGAACAUACCUCUUGGUUCGGAACAACACAGGGAAACUUGUGCUAAUACCGGAUAAGCCCUUACGGGGAAAGAUUUAUCGCCGAGAGAUUGGCCCGCGUCUGAUUAGCUAGUUGGUGUGGUAAAAGCGCACCAAGGCGACGAUCAGUAGCUGGUCUGAGAGGAUGAUCAGCCACAUUGGGACUGAGACACGGCCCAA
This 221-nucleotide ribosomal RNA is filed under the name uncultured bacterium. Its description in RNAcentral is "partial 16S ribosomal RNA". It matches the Rfam family "Bacterial small subunit ribosomal RNA", at positions 96 to 334 of the family's 1533-position model. The record is from RNAcentral.